CAAUGAAAUUUUUCAAUGGCUGCAGUAUUUUGACUGUACAAAGGUAGCAUAAUCAUUAGUUUCUUAAUUAGAAGCUGGUAUGAAUGGUUUAAUGAAAAAAAUACUGUCUUUAUUUAAAUUUUAAAAGAAUUUUAUUUUUAAGUUAAAAAGCUUAAAUUUUUUUAAAAGACGAGAAGACCCUAUAGAGUUUAAUAAUUUUAAGAAUAAUAAUUUUAAGAAUUUUAUUUUAUUUAUUUUGAUAAUUAUUUUGUUGGGGUGACAAGAAAAUAUAAUAAACUUUUUUUAUAUAAUAACAUUAAUUUAUGAAUAUUUGAUCCAUUAGUUAUGAUUAUAAGAUUAAAUUACCUUAGGGAUAACAGCGUAAUUUUUUUGGCGAGUUCUUAUCAAUAAAAAAGUUUGCGACCUCGAUGUUGGAUUAAAAUUUACAAUUGGUGCAGUAGCUGAAUUGUUAGGUCUGUUCGACCUUUAAAAUUUUACAUGAUCUGAGUUUAAACCGGUGUGAGCCAGGUUGGUUUCUAUCUUUAAAUAAAUAAAAUAUUUUAGUACGAAAGGACCAAAUAUUUAUAAAAUUUAUUAAAAAUUGAAUUAAAUUGUUACUUUGGCAGAUUAGUGCAUUAAAUUUAGAAUUUAAUUAUGUAUGUUAAGUACAGGUAAUACUUGGUGUUUAUUGAUUAUUUAUUAAGUUUGUUAAGAAGAGUAAUUUUAGUUAUUUGUGUAUUAGUAGGAGUG
RNAcentral lists this ribosomal RNA (729 nucleotides) under Enochrus talamanca. RNAcentral's name for it is "partial 16S ribosomal RNA". The stretch from base 1 to 560 matches the Rfam family "Archaeal large subunit ribosomal RNA", at positions 1987 to 2987 of the family's 2987-position model. Lineage: Eukaryota; Metazoa; Arthropoda; Insecta; Coleoptera; Hydrophilidae. The record is from RNAcentral.